AAUGAACGCUGGCGGCGUGCUUUACACAUGCAAGUCGAGCGAGGCGUCCCGCAAGGGGCAGUCGAGCGGCGAACGGGUGAGUAACGCGUGGAUUAUCUGCCCUGAGGUGGGGGAUAACCCGGGGAAACUCGGGCUAAUACCGCAUAUGACCGGGAGGUCAAAGGGGGGUCGCAAGAUCUCUCGCCUUUGGAGGAGUCCGCGUUCGAUUAGCUAGUUGGUAGGGUAAUGGCCUACCAAGGCGACGAUCGAUAGCCGGCCUGAGAGGGUGAUCGGCCACACUGGAACUGAGACACGGUCCAGACUCCUACGGGAGGCAGCAGUGGGGAAUUUUGCGCAAUGGGCUAACGCCUGACGCAGCAACGCCGCGUGGAGGAUGAAGGUCUUUGGAUUGUAAACUCCUGUCAGCAGGGAAAAAGCGACCUGACCUCAUACGUCAGGGAGUUGAUUGUACCUGCAGAGGAAGCCCCGGCUAACUCUGUGCCAGCAGCCGCGGUAAUACAGAGGGGGCAGCGUUAUUCGGAAUUAUUGGGCGUAAAGGGCGCGUAUGCGGCCUGGCAAGUGGAAGGUGAAAUCCCUCGGC
Molecule: ribosomal RNA, 580 nt
Filed under: uncultured bacterium
Lineage: Bacteria
Description: bacterial SSU rRNA
Rfam family: Bacterial small subunit ribosomal RNA
Source: RNAcentral